RNAcentral lists this ribosomal RNA (442 nucleotides) under uncultured bacterium. Its description in RNAcentral is "partial 16S ribosomal RNA". It matches the Rfam family "Bacterial small subunit ribosomal RNA", at positions 338 to 795 of the family's 1533-position model. The record is from RNAcentral.
CCUACGGGUGGCAGCAGUGGGGAAUAUUGGGCAAUGGGCGCAAGCCUGACCCAGCAACGCAGCGUGAAGGAAGAAGGCUUUCGGGUUGUAAAAUUCCUUUUAUAGGGAAGAGUAGAAGACGGUACCUGCCGAUUAAGCCACGGCUAACUACGUGCCAGCAGCCGCGGCAAUACGUAGGUGGCAAGUGUUGUCCGGAUUUACUGGGUGUAAAGGGCGUGUAGCCGGGUUGACAAGUCAGAUGUGAAAUCCUGCGGCUUAACCGCAGAACUGCAUUUGAAAUUGGUGGUCUUGAGUACUGUGGAGGCAGACGGAAUUCGUAGUGUAGCGGUGAAAUGCGUAGAUAUUAGGAGGAACACCGGUGGCGAAGGCGGUCUGCUAGACAGCAACUGACGGUGAGGCGCGAAAGCGUGGGGAGCAAACAGGAUUAGAUACCCGUGUAGUC